Molecule: ribosomal RNA, 198 nt
Filed under: uncultured bacterium
Lineage: Bacteria
Description: partial 16S ribosomal RNA
Rfam family: Bacterial small subunit ribosomal RNA
Source: RNAcentral
ACUCCUACGGGAGGCAGCAGUAGGGAAUCUUCCACAAUGGGCGAAAGCCUGAUGGAGCAACGCCGCGUGAGUGAUGAAGGUUUUCGGAUCGUAAAGCUCUGUUGCCAGGGAAGAACGUCCGGGUGAGUAACUGCACUCGGAGUGACGGUACCUGAGAAGAAAGCCCCGGCUAACUACGUGCCAGCAGCCGCGGUAAUA